GACGAACGCUGGCGGCGUGCUUAACACAUGCAAGUCGAACGGAAAGGCCCUGCUUUUGUGGGGUGCUCGAGUGGCGAACGGGUGAGUAACAAGUGAGUAACCUGCCCUUGACUUUGGGAUAACUUCAGGAAACUGGGGCUAAUACCGGAUAGGAGCUCCUGCUGCAUGGUGGGGGUUGGAAAGUUUCGGCGGUUGGGGAUGGACUCGCGGCUUAUCAGCUUGUUGGUGGGGUAGUGGCUUACCAAGGCUUUGAGGGGUAGCCGGCCUGAGAGGGUGACCGGCGACAUUGGGCCUGCGGGACGGACCAGACUCCUACGGGAGGCAGCAGUGGAGAGUAUUACACAAUGGGGGGGAGCCUGAUGCAGCAACGCCGGGAGCGGGAUGAUGGCCUUCGGGUUGUAAACCGCUGUCGCCUGUGACGAAGCGGGAGUGACGGUAAUGGGUAAAGAAGCACCGGCUAACUACGUG
Molecule: ribosomal RNA, 468 nt
Filed under: uncultured bacterium
Lineage: Bacteria
Description: partial 16S ribosomal RNA
Rfam family: Bacterial small subunit ribosomal RNA
Source: RNAcentral